UACGUAGGGUGCAAGCGUUGUCCGGAAUUAUUGGGCGUAAAGAGCUCGUAGGCGGCUUGUCGCGUCGGCUGUGAAAACCUGGGGCUCAACCCCCGGGCCUGCAGCCGAUACGGGCAGACUGGAGUUCGGCAGGGGGAGACUGGAAUUCCUGGUGUAGCGGUGAAAUGCGCAGAUAUCAGGAGGAACACCGGUGGCGAAGGCAGGUCUCUGGGCAUUAACUGACGCUGAGGAGCGAAAGCAUGGGGAGCGAACAGG
This 255-nucleotide ribosomal RNA is filed under the name uncultured bacterium. RNAcentral's name for it is "partial 16S ribosomal RNA". It matches the Rfam family "Bacterial small subunit ribosomal RNA", at positions 524 to 776 of the family's 1533-position model. The record is from RNAcentral.